RNAcentral lists this ribosomal RNA (497 nucleotides) under uncultured bacterium. RNAcentral's name for it is "partial 16S ribosomal RNA". It matches the Rfam family "Bacterial small subunit ribosomal RNA", at positions 28 to 507 of the family's 1533-position model. The record is from RNAcentral.
GAUGAACGCUGGCGGCGUGCCUAAUACAUGCGAGUCGAGCGAACGGACGAGAAGCUUGCUUCUCUGAUGUUAGCGGCGGACGGGUGAGUAACACGUGGAUAACCUACCUAUAAGACUGGGAUAACUUCGGGAAACCGGAGCUAAUACCGGAUAAUAUUUUGAACCACAUGGUUCAAAAGUGAAAGACGGUCUUGCUGUCACUUAUAGAUGGAUCCGCGCUGCAUUAGCUAGUUGGUAAGGUAACGGCUUACCAAGGCAACGAUGCAUAGCCGACCUGAGAGGGUGAUCGGCCACACUGGAACUGAGACACGGUCCAGACUCCUACGGGAGGCAGCAGUAGGGAAUCUUCCGCAAUGGGCGAAAGCCUGACGGAGCAACGCCGCGUGAGUGAUGAAGGUCUUCGGAUCGUAAAACUCUGUUAUUAGGGAAGAACAUAUGUGUAAGUAACUGUGCACAUCUUGACGGUACCUAAUCAGAAAGCCACGGCUAACUACGUG